This 253-nucleotide ribosomal RNA is filed under the name uncultured bacterium. RNAcentral describes it as "partial 16S ribosomal RNA". It matches the Rfam family "Bacterial small subunit ribosomal RNA", at positions 524 to 776 of the family's 1533-position model. The record is from RNAcentral.
UACGUAGGGUGCAAGCGUUAAUCGGAAUUACUGGGCGUAAAGCGUGCGCAGGCGGCCAUGCAAGACAGAUGUGAAAUCCCCGGACUCAACCUGGGAACUGCAUUUGUGACUGCAUGGCUAGAGUACGGCAGAGGGGGAUGGAAUUCCGCGUGUAGCAGUGAAAUGCGUAGAUAUGCGGAGGAACACCGAUGGCGAAGGCAAUCCCCUGGGCCUGUACUGACGCUCAGGCACGACAGCAUGGGGAGCAAACAGG